Molecule: ribosomal RNA, 460 nt
Filed under: uncultured bacterium
Lineage: Bacteria
Description: partial 16S ribosomal RNA
Rfam family: Bacterial small subunit ribosomal RNA
Source: RNAcentral
CCUACGGGACACUGCAGUGAGGAAUAUUGGUCAAUGGACGAGAGUCUGAACCAGCCAAGUAGUGUGAAGGAUGACUGCCCUAUGGGUUGUAAACUUCUUUUAUAAAGGAAUAAAACGAGGCACGUGUGCCUUUUUGCAUGUACUUUAUGAAUAAGGAUCGGCUAAAUACGUGCCAGCAGCCGCGGUAAUACGGAGGAUCCGAGCGUUAUGCGGAUUUAUUGGGUUUAAAGGGAGCGUAGAUGGGGUGUUAAGUCAGUUGUGAAAGUUUGCGGCUCAACCGGAAAAUUGCAAUUGAUACUGGCAGUCUUGAGUACAGUUGAGGUAGGCGGAAUUCGUGGUGUAGCGGUGAAAUGCGUAGAUAUCACGAAGAACCCCGAUGGCGAAGGCAGCUUACUAAACUGUGACUGACAUUGAGGCUCGAAAGUGUGGGUAGCAAACAGGAUUAGAUACCCCAGUAGUC